Molecule: long non-coding RNA, 546 nt
Organism: Pollicipes pollicipes
Lineage: Eukaryota; Metazoa; Arthropoda; Thecostraca; Pollicipedomorpha; Pollicipedidae
Exons: 3
Source: RefSeq, a predicted model, not a curated record
ACGCUGGAUGUUGUAUCCCGGAAGUGGUGCGGCGAUUCUUGUGGGCUGGAACAUGAAUAACGACACCGGAUGGAUUUUGCUGAUGGUGGCGGCAUUGUCUGGAGCCUGUGUCCCAAAUGGUCUGGACCGAACGCUGCUGAAGGCAUAUCCGACUGAUUUGGUCAAGAACCAGGCCAUCGUUCCGUUCGUCAUGUCCACGCUGAUGACACAGAUGACGACGCUGCUUAUGGAGAUGACAGAUAAAGGUGCCGAAGCUGCAGGAGCAGGUGCCGUCCCUGGUGGGGUCACAAGCGUGCUGCCUGGACCCAUUCAGCGUAUGGCAGAUCGUCCCUUCUUUGGCAUUGUCUGGAACAAGAAACCAAAGAUGAACUUCUUCUCUGGGCACAUAGCUUCACCAUAAGCGAAUGGCUAAGAUCAUGCACGCUAUUCUGAGACAAGGCGUAGGACCCACACUGCAUAGCGUUGAUCGCAUUAAGCAUGCUGUGAGUGCAGUUCAUGUAACGGCGGCUCCCAUCAUGGCUGGGUGCGACCGACAAACCUAAUGUC